RNAcentral lists this long non-coding RNA (346 nucleotides) under Carica papaya (papaya). RNAcentral's name for it is "long non-coding RNA (CPAP_LNC005674)". The record is from RNAcentral. Lineage: Eukaryota; Viridiplantae; Streptophyta; Magnoliopsida; Brassicales; Caricaceae.
CACAAAUGUCGCAUCUACGUCCACGGUGCGGGGAUAGGUCCUGUAUGUGCCUUGUCGUGUACAAGCAGGCCGUCCGCGUGUCACCUCGUACACAGACAAGUGUCGCCCAUUGUGCAAGCACCGUCUGCAUAGUAGGCCUACGCGGAUAAGCUCUGCGCGCCUAGGACCUUCUCGCAGUAGGCCAGCAUGAGCGGUGCCAAGCGUGCUAAGGUCCUGCGUGCACGGUAGGAGGCCUGGGCGCCAGCAUGAUAGCCUGUAGUGUGCUGGUCGGGGCACUACUACCUCGAACAAUGCAUCGCUAUUAACUCUGGCAGCACACUGCUGUCGCCUUGGGUGGUGCACCGCC